GCUGAUUAAUAGUCUACCUGCCCCUGAAAAUUUUGAAUGGCCGCAGUAAUUUGACUGUGCAAAGGCAGCAUAAUCAUUAGUUUUUUAAUUAAAAGCUUGUAUGAAGGGUUGGACGAAGUAAAAUCUGUCUCUAUUUAAUUUAAUAUAGAAUUUAAUUUUUAAGUUAAAAAGCUUAAAUUAUUAUAAAAGACAAGAAGACCCUAUAGAUCUUUAUAAUUUAUUUUAUAUAAUUAAUUAAGAUUAAUUUAAAUUUUAUUAAUAUAAUUAUUUUAUUGGGGUAAUAAAAAGAUUAAAUCAAUUCUUUUUUUUUAUUUACAUUUAUUUAUGAGUUUAAUGAUCCAUUUUUAAUGAUUAUAAGAUUAAGUUACCUUAGGGAUAACAGCGUAAUUUUUUUAAAGAGUUCAUAUCGAUAAAAAAGUUUGCGACCUCGAUGUUGGAUUAAAAAUUAAUUUAGGUGUAGAAGCUUAAAUUUUUGGUCUGUUCGACCAUUGAAUUUUUACGUGAUCUGAGUUCAGACCGGA
Molecule: ribosomal RNA, 521 nt
Filed under: Abax parallelus
Lineage: Eukaryota; Metazoa; Arthropoda; Insecta; Coleoptera; Carabidae
Description: partial 16S ribosomal RNA
Rfam family: Bacterial large subunit ribosomal RNA (bases 375-521)
Source: RNAcentral